UUGUAACAUAAAACAUUAUGUUACAAGAAAAGCGGCAAUGUGAAAAUUCCGGCAAUGUGUUAUUUUUUCAACGCUAACAUAUAUUUAUCAAGAUGACACAAUUAAAGCAGGACAGAAAAAAGAUGAUGAAGAAAAUUUUCAAGAACCAUCAAUUAAAAAUGUAAAGCUUAAUUCGGAAGAAAAUCAUAU
This is a long non-coding RNA of Gordionus sp. m RMFG-2023, 189 nucleotides long. RefSeq lists it as uncharacterized. The record is from RefSeq and is a predicted model, not a curated record. The transcript has 3 exons. NCBI's taxonomy places the organism in Eukaryota, Metazoa, Nematomorpha, Gordioida, Chordodea, Parachordodidae.